This 509-nucleotide long non-coding RNA is filed under the name Balaenoptera musculus (blue whale). Its description in RNAcentral is "lncRNA (ENSBMSG00010011269.1)". Lineage: Eukaryota; Metazoa; Chordata; Mammalia; Artiodactyla; Balaenopteridae. The record is from RNAcentral.
GGGGACCAGUAAAAGAUGUCUUGGCUCUGUGUAUGCCUAAAGAUGCAAAACCACAACACUUCUGAUCAUCUUUAACAGCUUCAUUGAAGAAAGAUUGUGCUAAGAAGAGGCUGAUAUGACUCUCCAACUGUGUUUACUUAAAGUUGGCUUUAAAGAGAGGUUCUGAUUACUUCUCCACCCAUCAACUACCACUCGCCCACCUCUACCCUCAACCCUUGAGAAGUACCAUACAAUAGCCACAUCAGAAGCCAGGGAAUAAUAGUGGGCAGAAAGUUUUGCAAAUAUUAACUUUCUGAUCUAACAAACCCAUCUGUAUCUCCUUCUCCUAUAAACAUUCUGUUUGGCAGUACUGCUAAGAUCUAUUUCUCCUCUUUCAUUUUCUAAUUAACUUACAAUGUGUUUUCUCUAAAUUCACAAUGAGCUUGUAAUAAAAGUAAUUUGCUUCACCAGGUGGUAUUUCUCACAUUCCAGAUGUUAAUAUAGGUCUUAAACCAUGGUCAGCUUUAAGA